UCGUGGAGUGAUCUGUCUACUUAAUUGUGCCAACGAACGAGACCUUGGCCCUUAAUUAGGUGCUAGGCUUUAGGGGUAACUCUAAAGUUAAUUUUUCGGAAAUCUAGUUAACAAUCCUAUGGAUACUUCUUAAGGGGACAAGACGACGUUGACUAUGACGCAGCGUAAGGAAGAGCAAGGCAAUAACA
This 188-nucleotide ribosomal RNA is filed under the name uncultured eukaryote. Its description in RNAcentral is "partial 18S ribosomal RNA". It matches the Rfam family "Eukaryotic small subunit ribosomal RNA", at positions 1299 to 1458 of the family's 1831-position model. The record is from RNAcentral.